AUUGAACGCUGGCGGCAGGCCUAACACAUGCAAGUCGAACGGUAACAGGAAGAAGCUUGCUUCUUUGCUGACGAGUGGCGGACGGGUGAGUAAUGUCUGGGAAACUGCCUGAUGGAGGGGGAUAACUACUGGAAACGGUAGCUAAUACCGCAUAACGUCGCAAGACCAAAGAGGGGGACCUUCGGGCCUCUUGCCAUCGGAUGCGCCCAGAUGGGAUUAGCUAGUAGGUGGGGUAACGGCUCACCUAGGCGACGAUCCCUAGCUGGUCUGAGAGGAUAACCAGCCACACUGGAACUGAGACACGGUCCAGACUCCUACGGGAGGCAGCAGUGGGGAAUAUUGCACAAUGGGCGCAAGCCUGAUGCAGCCAUGCCGCGUGUAUGAAGAAGGCCUUCGGGUUGUAAAGUACUUUCAGCGGGGAGGAAGGGAGUAAAGUUAAUACCUUUGCUCAUUGACGUUACCCGCAGAAGAAGCACCGGCUAACUCCGUG
This 490-nucleotide ribosomal RNA is filed under the name uncultured bacterium. Its description in RNAcentral is "partial 16S ribosomal RNA". It matches the Rfam family "Bacterial small subunit ribosomal RNA", at positions 30 to 507 of the family's 1533-position model. The record is from RNAcentral.